RNAcentral lists this non-coding RNA (46 nucleotides) under Schistosoma haematobium. Lineage: Eukaryota; Metazoa; Platyhelminthes; Trematoda; Strigeidida; Schistosomatidae. The record is from RNAcentral. RNAcentral also lists the same sequence under 1 other name.
GCGCUGCUGACGAGUCCCACAAUAGGACGAAACGGCCGUCCAGUGC